Molecule: small nucleolar RNA, 82 nt
Filed under: Ananas comosus (pineapple)
Lineage: Eukaryota; Viridiplantae; Streptophyta; Magnoliopsida; Poales; Bromeliaceae
Description: Small nucleolar RNA R12
Rfam family: Small nucleolar RNA R12
About the family: snoR12 is a C/D box small nucleolar RNA, which acts as a methylation guide for 25S ribosomal RNA in plants. snoR12 has been alternatively named snoZ44 in Arabidopsis and snoZ131 in rice.
Source: Rfam by way of RNAcentral
AUGUUGGAUGAUGAAACAAAUCAAUCGGAUUCCCAUUGAUUAUUUUUAAUAUGAGAUUAAUAACCAGCUACUUCUGACUCGU